AAUCCUAAUUAUUUUUUGAGUCAUACAAAACAGCAUUAAAAUAGAUAAUAAAUUUAAAAGGAUCUACUGGAGUUUUUUUGAUUAAUAAACACUAAGCACAAGAGGCUUGCUUUUAAUGAUUCUUUGAACAGUUACAACAUGUUAGUGCAACUUACCAAAUGUAGAGAAUGCAAGCCAACCGCUGAAUACUGGACUCUCAUUCAAACGCUGGAGCGGAGGGAGUUGCCAUGGAAACGGGGCAACAACACCAACUGCAAACCGUAAAUCUCCAUUUCUCGCUGCUGUUUUCACUGCUUUCAGAAAACUUCGAAAGAGUCCGUUAUCAUCGCAAGUGUUUUUUUUUUUUUAGGUGAGGUAAGCUAACUCUAUAGCUUGAGCUCUUUUUAAUGAGAGUUUGGGCUUUUAAUCACAUCUUUAUGUAUAGAUGAGAAGUUUUGAUAGCUUUGUAAAGGGUUUGCUGUCAGUUUGUCCACGGUAUAUUGAAAGUUGUCUAGCUUAUUAAAUAUGCGCUGUACUGUUAAUCGGUGACGUCACUUACAAGGAGCGCAAAUUAACUGAAUCUAACGUUAGUUCAAACGUAUUUUUAUCUUUCAUGGUAAACAAAUAUUGAUCAAAUUUCUUCUGUGGUUUCAGGAAUGAGAAUAUAAUCUCUCUACAACAGAAGAGAAGCUCCAAAAUGUCAAAGUAUCUGAAGGGAGCUGCUGACAGAAAUAUUCUUCUAUAAUGAUGGCCGUUCAGCAGAGUUGGAGCAGACCUCCUGUCGGACAACAUCUCUUAGACACUAUGAACCAUGUUACUAGAUCCUAUGUACCCACCCUCAACCAUUCAUCAAAAGGACUGUAAAGGUGGGAAUUCUCUGAACAACCAGGGGCAGUUUCCACGGGAUGAAAAAGGGCAUACUAGUGGAUGAUGGGAGUAUUGACAUUAACCUGUUGUAUUCACUGUAUUACACAUUUUUGUCAGUUUUCCAUUUCAAGUACUGGUGGUUUUGAUUUUGUCUGGAUGGCAUGCUUUCCUAACACUAAUGGGUACGACUUGGCUGGGCACGGCUCAGUACGGUACGGCUCGGAUCCACAAUAGACAACAAAACUUUUUGAUUGUUAAAAAAGGUGCUCGUUCAAAACAGUUGCGUUCGAUCCUUUGCUGCUGUGGUGAUUUAAAUCUAGCGGUUCUUUUGUGUUUGUGUCACAAGUUCAGUGACGCAGGAAGUGACAAUUCUCUCUGGCCAAUCCGUGAUCAGCAGAGUUUACACAUCACAUUUUGGUAUAACGGUACGGUUCACUUGGAACCUCAACCGAGGUGGUACUAAAAAAAGUACCAGGUACCAGGUACCCAGUGGAAAACCCCCCAAAAGUGAACCGUACUGAGCCGUUCUGUGCCGUACCAGGCAGUGGAAAAGCGCCAUAAUAAGUCAAAGCUCAGGUACCACAUAAAAUGCGGCCAUGAGCAAACAGAAAAAGAGAAAUAUAUAAAGUGAGGUUAUCAUCAAGUACUCAGACUUAACAGCGAUGAUUGAUCAUGAAACUAAUGAUUACAGUGACUUUAAAAAUUUUUUUAAUUAUUGCUGUCAUGUCUGAGUACUUCCAGUACUUGUGCACAUCCCUAUUAAACACAUAUACACGGUAUUGAGGUAUGAUGUAAUACUGCAUUGAUGUAUACUGUAAAUGCAAUAAACAUUUUAAUCAUA
Cyprinus carpio carpio is the source of this 1687-nucleotide long non-coding RNA. The record is from Ensembl. NCBI's taxonomy places the organism in Eukaryota, Metazoa, Chordata, Actinopteri, Cypriniformes, Cyprinidae.